This is a long non-coding RNA of Gallus gallus (chicken), 563 nucleotides long. NCBI's taxonomy places the organism in Eukaryota, Metazoa, Chordata, Aves, Galliformes, Phasianidae. The record is from Ensembl.
CUGAAACAUUUGGAUUGGGUGUCAUAGCUGAAGGCCAGGUUGGGCCAGAGGAGGAACCAGCUUCCCACCAGCUGGGCAGACAAGUAUUCACCAGCAGGGGAGAAAAACAUGUGCAAUUGGUGCUGUAUCAGUCCUGGAGCCAAGUUUGAGGACGCCAGGGCGCCACUGGACUAUGGUUUGAAGUCAUUAGUGGUUUUCUGUGGGUGAAUUUCUUGGAUUAACAAGAGAAUCUCGGCACAAGAGCCAGCUUCUUUCUACUCCUGCCCUGACACGUAAGCUCUCUUUGUGCUUUCCUAGCAACAAUGACCACAUGCAUCCAGAGUGCUGCUUUGGCUUAACUGCCACCUGCAAUGACCGCUCGAGAACAGGUUGAAGAGUGAAAACACUGCAAAUUCAGCAAACAGUGCUUGUUCCAGAGAGCAUGUUCUCUUAACCCAUGAACUUCUAACAGUGCAACAUGUUCUCUAAUCCCAAUACAUUCUGGCUUCCCUAUUUUUUCCACUAUCAUAAUUGAGUCUUAGGCACUGGUCUCCUCAUAAUUCUGAUAAUGAGGUAAAAUCAUG